Amphiprion ocellaris (clown anemonefish) is the source of this 1798-nucleotide long non-coding RNA. RefSeq lists it as uncharacterized. The record is from RefSeq and is a predicted model, not a curated record. The transcript is spliced from 4 exons. NCBI's taxonomy places the organism in Eukaryota, Metazoa, Chordata, Actinopteri, Pomacentridae.
UUCCGUUGAUGUAGACGGCGUGAAAACGGAAACAACAAGUAUGCCGGCUCACUGUGCUGCAUACAAUUACACACUACGUCGUACGAUUGAGACAAGGAAACUUGGAAUGACUUUUCAUAGGUUUCCCAGAGACUAUGGGUUGAGGAGGAAUUGGAAGUUUGUCGGCUUAGACCUGGUGUCAUUCCAUCAGUGUUAAACUUCUCGGCUCAUCUUGGAAGAGUACGUGCCAGAAAGACCACGACCAAGCAGCCUUGAGAUCUUAGGCAGCGUCUCCCUGAGGUCCCUCUCUAUCUCCCCACACAUCCACCAACCACUGGAACACAUCUCCAAAGUUCUGCUGGACCAGCUCAGCUUCCCCUCAGAAGAAGUGCUGCCAGAUGAAGGAGCCUUUUGAGAGGCAGCUGGCAUCGUGAUUGGACUGUACUUUGGUCUGUUCCAAUCCAGCUUCAGCUCCAGAGACGGCAGGCGGGACGAGUCAACGGAGGCCGGGUGGACGAAGGCAUGAAGCUGAGUACAAUACAGAAAACAACAGAGGAGGAGUGCAUCAGCCCAGGACCAGAACAACCAGAGUAGCAUGACCAAAGAACUACAGACUCUUCACAACCUGCUCAAACUCUUGGUACAGGACCUCACCACACGGGUCAAGAAGGUUUCCUUCUCCUCAUUUCUACUCUGAAGCUCACCUUCUCCUGCUCAAGCUGCUGACAAAUGUUUCUGCUGCUCUAAAGUCUGCUCUCCAGAACUUCCUAAAAACUCUCAAAGUCUCUUCUGCUGCAGGUUGCUUUGUAGAACUGUUCCAGAAAACCUCAUUAAACCACAUGGAGGGGCCUCAAGAUAGUUGUCCAAAUGAAACCAUACAAAAACCAAACUAGCACAACACAAACACUAAAGUCUCCUGCAGCCUACCAGAGAACCUCUGAGAACAGAGAAUCAGGACAGGAACUCUUACCUUCUGGACAACCAACGCUGGUUCACAAACAAGAAUACAGAAUGUGUCUGACCAAAAACCUCUGAAGACUCACUACAGCCAAGAUAAAGACACAACUCAGCUGCACCAAAUCCACUAAUCACUGCACACAUUAGCACCAUGUGCUAACUGUGGCUAAAGAACCACAUUUACCAAGACAACUAUCCAGUACAAAGCCCUAAAACACACCAAGAAACACAUUAAAGAUGAUUUUACUGCUGGAAGCUGCAAGCCAACGUCUAAAGAACAAACUAAAGCAAUGGAACCAAACCCAGUUCAGUGGUGAAGAGAAGCAGAGGAAAUGUUUGUCUGCAGCUAAAUAAAGCAGGAAGACACUGAGCUGCUCAGGUGUUCCUGAUAACACCAAGCUGCUCAGGUGUUCCUGAUAACACCAAGCAGCCACCUGGACAGCCAAUAGGAACACAGCUUCCUGGAAGUCCAGAGGGCUGGCUUAGUCAAGGAAAUUUAAAGUUGAAGCAGAAAGUUAACAAAGAAAGUUGAAAACCACCUUCUGAUACCUGAAAUCUCUGAGUUUUCACACAAAGAACACCUGAACAUGUCAAACUGGUUCCAUAGUAGAACCCUCAUUGUAAAAACAUCAUAGUAUGGUGUGUUGCUCCAAAAACAUUAGGACCCGGCUGUCAGGGGACAAACAUGUAAGAAACAUGAGAACAGAGAGAACCCAACCAGUAGGUCACAGUUUAUCAUCAUCUAAUCAUCUCCCGAAGUCCAUAUGGUGAGAGACAUCAGUAUCUGGUUGUUAAUUUACCAGAGGAUGCUUAUAAUCAUGCUGAUGUGGUCUGUACUCUACAGUAUUUUAGUGACUCAAUA